RNAcentral lists this ribosomal RNA (455 nucleotides) under Lybia tessellata. Its description in RNAcentral is "partial 12S small subunit ribosomal RNA". Lineage: Eukaryota; Metazoa; Arthropoda; Malacostraca; Decapoda; Xanthidae. The record is from RNAcentral.
AAAGGUGAAAUUAGAUUAUUUUAUUUUAAUAAAAAACUAAAAUUGAAGCUAUAAAUUAUUAGGAUAAAACUAGGAUUAGAUACCCUAUUAUGCUAGUAAAUAUAAGAGCCUGAAUUAUUAUUAGAUAUAUUCUUAAAAUUUAAAGAAUUUGGCGGUAAUUUAGUCUUGUUAGAGGAACCUGUUUUUAAAUCGAUAAACCACGAAGAAUCUUACUCAGGUUUGUAUACCAUCAUUAUCAGAUAAUUUUCUUUUUAAAAAUCAAUUAUUAAAAAUUAAAAAUUAAAAGUUAAAUAAAAUUAGAUCAAGGUGCAGCUAAUAAAUGAGUUAAAAUGGGUUACAAUAAAAAUUUAUUUAUAACGAAAUAAUAUUUAAUGAAGGAGGAUUUAAUUGUAUUUAGGUUUAAUAAGCCAAAAAGAUAUAAGCUCUAAAUUAUGUACAUAUCGCCCGUCGCUCUC